Long non-coding RNA from Rhagoletis zephyria (snowberry fruit fly), 505 nucleotides. RefSeq lists it as uncharacterized. NCBI's taxonomy places the organism in Eukaryota, Metazoa, Arthropoda, Insecta, Diptera, Tephritidae. The record is from RefSeq and is a predicted model, not a curated record.
AAGCAGUAGCAAAAGUGACGGCUCUAAUCAGCAGUAUUCGUAGAAACAAUUAUUAGCAAUCAAUAUGUAAUUUUUAUGCCAAAUAAAUAUUCUAAAAUUCAGUAGGUUGCAAAAUGUUUGAAUAUGUGAAUAAACGUUAAAACGAUCAAAAGAAAAAGUAGUGGUUCCAGCAAAUUUUGUAAUUCAAUUUGUUUUAUUUCCCAAAAGGCAGACCAACAAAAAAAAAACCAGUAAAAAAGAACAAAGUAUGGCAACAGCAAAGUAAACGUGUAUGCAGAAGCAGUGGCGAGUGAGCACUUUUCUAUGUACCAUAAGUGCGAGCGGGACGAUGCAUUAAUGCCCCAACUCACUCUGAUCUAUAAAGCAGCAAAUGCAUUUGAGUUUUACCUACUUUGGGGAGUGUAUACAUAAUAUAUUGGAGGCUGGUACUUCCGUCGCUAUCGCAACAUUAAAACAGUGCCGUCUGGUGAACCUUGAAUAAAUGUAAAAAAAAAAACAAACAAUG